Molecule: ribosomal RNA, 547 nt
Filed under: uncultured archaeon
Lineage: Archaea
Description: bacterial SSU rRNA
Rfam family: Archaeal small subunit ribosomal RNA
Source: RNAcentral
GCAGCAGGCGCGAAAACUUUACAAUGCUGGCAACAGCGAUAAGGGGACCUCGAGUGCCAGGAUACAAUCUUGGCUGUCGCGAUGCCUAAAAAGCAUUGCAUAGCAAGGGCCGGGCAAGACCGGUGCCAGCCGCCGCGGUAACACCGGCGGCUCGAGUGGUAACCGCUAUUAUUGGGUCUAAAGGGUCUGUAGCCGGCCGGAUAAGUCUUUUGGGAAAUCCAGCUGCUCAACAGUUGGGCUUUCAGAAGAUACUGUUCGGCUCGAGACCGGGAGAGGUGAGAGGUACUUCAGGGGUAGGGGUGAAAUCUUGUAAUCCUUGAAGGACCACCAGUGGCGAAGGCGUCUCACCAGAACGGAUCUGACGGCAAGGGACGAAAGCUAGGGGCACGAACCGGAUUAGAUACCCGGGUAGUCCUAGCCGUAAACGAUACUCGCUAGGUGUCAGCCACGGUGCGACCGUGGUUGGUGCCGUAGGGAAGCCGUGAAGCGAGCCACCUGGGAAGUACGGCCGCAAGGCUGAAACUUAAAGGAAUUGGCGGGGGAGCAC